RNAcentral lists this long non-coding RNA (391 nucleotides) under Elaeis guineensis (African oil palm). RNAcentral describes it as "long non-coding RNA (EGUI_LNC005466)". The record is from RNAcentral. Lineage: Eukaryota; Viridiplantae; Streptophyta; Magnoliopsida; Arecales; Arecaceae.
UUCGUCCUCUACCCAAAAAAAAAAAGAAAAAAAUGCAGAUGUGUAGCAUUUUUAUUUGUCAUUCUGGUUGCAAACCUGCUGCAUGCAAAAUUUACAGUGUUUUUUUUGGCUACAGCAAUUCAGCAAAAUUUACAGCAUAAGGCUGGACAUCGUAACUCCGCUCAAAAAAAAGUUUGCAGUGAAUGUCUUGGAGAUACGAUGCCGGUGGACCCCUUCCCAUAUCCAUCAGAAAAUACGAUCAUGCGCUCGACCGCGGCAGGUCCCCUUCUUUUAGAGCGGCAGCCGAUAUCAGGGGAGCUAGCCUUAGGUGUAUUCCUAAAUCGGUCAAAUGUCACGUCUCCUGUGCAAGAUUUGGGAUAAGCAGGUCAGAAAUGGAAAAUUACUCAUUCUA